AAAAGCUCGUAGUUGGAUCUCAGUUCCAGACGGGCGGUCCGCCUACCGGCGGCCACUGCCCGUUCUGAACAGGCCAGCCGGUUUCCCCUGAUGAUCUUCACCGGUUGUCUCGGGUGACCGGCAAGUUUACUUUGAAAAAAUUAGAGUGCUCAAAGCAGGCGCGACGCCUGGAUAAUGGUGCAUGGAAUAAUGGAAUAGGACCUCGGUUCUAUUUUGUUGGUUUUCGGAACGCGAGGUAAUGAUUAAGAGGGACAGACGGGGGCAUUCGUAUUGCGACGCUAGAGGUGAAAUUCUUGGACCGUCGCAAGACGAACUACUGCGAAAGCAUUUGCCAAGAAUGUUUCCAUUAAUCAAGAACGAAAGUUAGAGGCUCGAAGGCGAUCAGAUACCGCCCUAGUUCUAACCAUAAACGAUGCCAGCCAGCGAUCCGGCUGUGUUCCUCAAAUGACACGCCGGGCAGCUUCCGGGAAACCAAAGCUUUUGGGUUCCGGGGGAAGUAUGGUUGCAAAGCUGAAACUUAAAGGAAUUGACGGAAGGGCACCACCAGGUGUGGGGCCUGCGGCUUAAUUUGACUCAACACGGGUAAACUCAUCUGGUCCGGACACAGGAAGGAUUGACAGAUUGAGAGCUCUUUCUUGAUUCUGUGGGUGGUGGUGCAUGGCCGCUCUUAGUUGGUGGAGCGAUUUGUCUGGUUAAUUCCGUUAACGAACGAGACUCUAGCCUACUAAAUAGACGUUCCGAUCCUCCGAGUCGGACGUUCUUCUUAGAGGGACGGGCGGCGUUUAGCCGCACGAAACAGAGCAAUAGCAGGUCUGUGAUGCCCUUUGAUGUCCGGGGCCGCACGCGCGCCACAUUGAAGGAACCAGCGUGUGCUUUCCCUGUCCGACAGGACUGGGUAACCCGUUGAACCUCCUUCGUGCUGGGGAUAGCAAAUUGUAAUUAUUUUGCUUGAACGAGGAACACCCAGUAAGCACGAGUCAUCAGCUCGUGUUGACUAUGUCCCUGGCCUUUGUUCACACCGCCCGUCGCUACUACCGAUUGAAUGAUUUAGUGAGGUCUUCGGACUGGCGCUCGGAUUGGCUUUCGGGUCGAGCCGACGUGCCGGAAAGAUGACCAAACUUGAUCAUUUAGAGGAAGUAAAAGUCGUAACAAGGUUUCC
RNAcentral lists this ribosomal RNA (1159 nucleotides) under Neriene sp. TAB-2009. RNAcentral's name for it is "SSU rRNA". It matches the Rfam family "Eukaryotic small subunit ribosomal RNA", at positions 622 to 1804 of the family's 1831-position model. The record is from RNAcentral. Lineage: Eukaryota; Metazoa; Arthropoda; Arachnida; Araneae; Linyphiidae.